RNAcentral lists this ribosomal RNA (376 nucleotides) under uncultured organism. RNAcentral's name for it is "partial 16S ribosomal RNA". It matches the Rfam family "Bacterial small subunit ribosomal RNA", at positions 527 to 897 of the family's 1533-position model. The record is from RNAcentral.
GUAGGUGGCAAGCGUUGUCCGGGAAUUAUUGGGGCGUAAAGCGCGCGCAGGCGGUUCUUUAAGUCCGAUGUGAAAGCCCACGGGCUCAACCGUGGAGGGUCAUUGGAAACUGGAGAACUUGAGUACAGAAGAGGAAAGCGGAAUUCCACGUGUAGCGGUGAAAUGCGUAGAGAUGUGGAGGAACACCAGUGGCGAAGGCGGCUUUCUGGUCUGUAACUGACGCUGAGGCGCGAAAGCGUGGGGAGCAAACAGGAUUAGAUACCCUGGUAGUCCACGCCGUAAACGAUGAGUGCUAAGUGUUAGGGGGUUUCCGCCCCUUAGUGCUGCAGCUAACGCAUUAAGCACUCCGCCUGGGGAGUACGGCCGCAAAGGCUGA